UACAGAGGUCUCAAGCGUUGUUCGGAUUCACUGGGUUUAAAGGGUGCGUAGGUGGGCUGGUAAGUCAGUGGUGAAAUCUCCAGGCUUAACUUGGAAAUUGCCAUUGAUACUAUUAGUCUUGAAUACCGUGGAGGUCAGCGGAAUAUGUCAUGUAGCGGUGAAAUGCUUAGAUAUGAUAUAGAACACCAAUUGCGAAGGCAGCUGGCUACACGAAUAUUGACACUGAUGCACGAAAGCGUGGGGAUCAAACAGG
RNAcentral lists this ribosomal RNA (253 nucleotides) under uncultured bacterium. Its description in RNAcentral is "partial 16S ribosomal RNA". It matches the Rfam family "Bacterial small subunit ribosomal RNA", at positions 524 to 776 of the family's 1533-position model. The record is from RNAcentral.